UAUGGCUUCGAAGCCCUCGCAAUAGUAUUUUUUCAGCAGCUCUGGAGUUUGUUACUGGUAGAAAUAUAUUCCACACUCAACCUUGUAAAUGAUGAACUGGAGGAAUUAUUUACUCAUGCUGCAACCGCUCGGCGUGACGGCCACGAGAAUGAAUACGUCCACCAACUUAACCUGAGCUACGACGCGAUAUGCGACAUAUUGAUACAAGUGGACAAAAACAACGGGCCCUUUUUGCUGUGUGGUUUCAUAUUGCUAUGCCUGCUUUUGUUGAUAACUUCAUAUAAUGUGAUUGCAGCUUUAUUAUGUACUAACUGUAAGGAUGAACAAGAGUGGUAUUUGUCAAUAGGAAUACAAGUAAACUGGUGUUUGCUACACUUGAGCCAUCUAGUGGUCUUGGUGGAACCAUGCCACUGGCUCCUGAAACAGAGGGAACGUACCAGCCGCCUGUUAAACAAGCUGGUAUGCCACGCCGACCGUUGCGGCCUUAGCCGCAUGACGCUUGAUCCAUUCCUACUACAGACUCAGAUGCACAACUGCACACUGGCACCCUGUGGCGUGUUCACCAUCACGAGGCCUCUUCUGGC
Molecule: long non-coding RNA, 584 nt
Organism: Cydia splendana
Lineage: Eukaryota; Metazoa; Arthropoda; Insecta; Lepidoptera; Tortricidae
Exons: 4
Source: RefSeq, a predicted model, not a curated record